This 465-nucleotide ribosomal RNA is filed under the name uncultured bacterium. RNAcentral's name for it is "bacterial SSU rRNA". It matches the Rfam family "Bacterial small subunit ribosomal RNA", at positions 29 to 524 of the family's 1533-position model. The record is from RNAcentral.
AGCGAACGCUGGCGGCAGGCUUAAUACAUGCAAGUCGAACGCACCCUUCGGGGUGAGUGGCGGACGGGUGAGUAACACGUGGGAAUGUGCCUUUAGGUUCGGAAUAACUCAGGGAAACUUGAGCUAAUACCGGAUGUGCCCCCAUUCUUUAGCGAGAGUGGGGGAAGAUUUAUCGCCUUAGAGCAGCCCGCGUCUGAUUAGCUAGUUGGUGGGGUAAAAGACCUACCAAGGCGACGAUCAGUAGCUGGUCUGAGAGGAUGGCCACGCCACACUGGGACUGAGACACGGCCCAGACUCCUACGGGAGGCAGCAGUAGGGAAUCUUGCGCAAUGGGCGAAAGCCUGACGCAGCCAUGCCGCGUGGAUGAUGAAGGUCUUAGGAUUGUAAAAUCCUUCAGCGGGGACGAUAAUGACGGUACCCGCAGAAGAAGCCCCGGCUAACUUCGUGCCACGCCGCCGCGGUAAU